Molecule: ribosomal RNA, 458 nt
Filed under: uncultured Syntrophaceae bacterium
Lineage: Bacteria; Pseudomonadati; Thermodesulfobacteriota; Syntrophia; Syntrophales; Syntrophaceae
Description: bacterial SSU rRNA
Rfam family: Bacterial small subunit ribosomal RNA
Source: RNAcentral
CCCGCACAAGCGGUGGAGCAUGUGGUUUAAUUCGAUGCAACGCGAAGAACCUUACCUGGGCUUGACAUCCCGGGAAUCCCCUGGAAACAGGGGAGUGCCCUUCGGGGAACCCGGUGACAGGUGCUGCAUGGCUGUCGUCAGCUCGUGUCGUGAGAUGUUGGGUUAAGUCCCGCAACGAGCGCAACCCUUGUCAUUAGUUGCUACGAAAGGGCACUCUAAUGAGACUGCCGGUGACAAACCGGAGGAAGGUGGGGAUGACGUCAAGUCCUCAUGGCCCUUAUAGGUGGGGCUACACACGUCAUACAAUGGCUGGUACAAAGGGUUGCCAACCCGCGAGGGGGAGCCAAUCCCAUAAAGCCAGUCGUAGUCCGGAUCGCAGUCUGCAACUCGACUGCGUGAAGUCGGAAUCGCUAGUAAUCGUGGAUCAGCAUGUCACGGUGAAUACGUUCCCGGGUCUU